Molecule: ribosomal RNA, 1346 nt
Filed under: Escherichia coli
Lineage: Bacteria; Pseudomonadati; Pseudomonadota; Gammaproteobacteria; Enterobacterales; Enterobacteriaceae
Description: partial 23S ribosomal RNA
Rfam family: Bacterial large subunit ribosomal RNA
Source: RNAcentral
GUACACAAAAAUGCACAUAUUGUGAGCUCGAUGAGUAGGGCGGGACACGUGGUAUCCUGUCUGAAUAUGGGGGGACCAUCCUCCAAGGCUAAAUACUCCUGACUGACCGAUAGUGAACCAGUACCGUGAGGGAAAGGCGAAAAGAACCCCGGCGAGGGGAGUGAAAAAGAACCUGAAACCGUGUACGUACAAGCAGUGGGAGCCUCUUUAUGGGGUGACUGCGUACCUUUUGUAUAAUGGGUCAGCGACUUAUAUUCUGUAGCAAGGUUAACCGAAUAGGGGAGCCGAAGGGAAACCGAGUCUUAACUGGGCGUUAAGUUGCAGGGUAUAGACCCGAAACCCGGUGAUCUAGCCAUGGGCAGGUUGAAGGUUGGGUAACACUAACUGGAGGACCGAACCGACUAAUGUUGAAAAAUUAGCGGAUGACUUGUGGCUGGGGGUGAAAGGCCAAUCAAACCGGGAGAUAGCUGGUUCUCCCCGAAAGCUAUUUAGGUAGCGCCUCGUGAAUUCAUCUCCGGGGGUAGAGCACUGUUUCGGCAAGGGGGUCAUCCCGACUUACCAACCCGAUGCAAACUGCGAAUACCGGAGAAUGUUAUCACGGGAGACACACGGCGGGUGCUAACGUCCGUCGUGAAGAGGGAAACAACCCAGACCGCCAGCUAAGGUCCCAAAGUCAUGGUUAAGUGGGAAACGAUGUGGGAAGGCCCAGACAGCCAGGAUGUUGGCUUAGAAGCAGCCAUCAUUUAAAGAAAGCGUAAUAGCUCACUGGUCGAGUCGGCCUGCGCGGAAGAUGUAACGGGGCUAAACCAUGCACCGAAGCUGCGGCAGCGACACUAUGUGUUGUUGGGUAGGGGAGCGUUCUGUAAGCCUGUGAAGGUGGCCUGUGAGGGUUGCUGGAGGUAUCAGAAGUGCGAAUGCUGACAUAAGUAACGAUAAAGCGGGUGAAAAGCCCGCUCGCCGGAAGACCAAGGGUUCCUGUCCAACGUUAAUCGGGGCAGGGUGAGUCGACCCCUAAGGCGAGGCCGAAAGGCGUAGUCGAUGGGAAACAGGUUAAUAUUCCUGUACUUGGUGUUACUGCGAAGGGGGGACGGAGAAGGCUAUGUUGGCCGGGCGACGGUUGUCCCGGUUUAAGCGUGUAGGCUGGUUUUCCAGGCAAAUCCGGAAAACCAAGGCUGAGGCGUGAUGACGAGGCACUACGGUGCUGAAGCGACAAAUGCCCUGCUUCCAGGAAAAGCCUCUAAGCAUCAGGUAACAUCAAAUCGUACCCCAAACCGACACAGGUGGUCAGGUAGAGAAUACCAAGGCGCUUGAGAGAACUCGGGUGAAGGAACUAGGCAAAAUGGUGC